AUUGAACGCUGGCGGCAUGCCUAACACAUGCAAGUCGAGCGGAUGAAGGGAGCUUGCUCCUGGAUUCAGCGGCGGACGGGUGAGUAAUGCCUAGGAAUCUGCCUGGUAGUGGGGGAUAACGUCCGGAAACGGGCGCUAAUACCGCAUACGUCCUGAGGGAGAAAGUGGGGGAUCUUCGGACCUCACGCUAUCAGAUGAGCCUAGGUCGGAUUAGCUAGUUGGUGGGGUAAAGGCCUACCAAGGCGACGAUCCGUAACUGGUCUGAGAGGAUGAUCAGUCACACUGGAACUGAGACACGGUCCAGACUCCUACGGGAGGCAGCAGUGGGGAAUAUUGGACAAUGGGCGAAAGCCUGAUCCAGCCAUGCCGCGUGUGUGAAGAAGGUCUUCGGAUUGUAAAGCACUUUAAGUUGGGAGGAAGGGAAGUAAGUUAAUACCUUGCUGUUUUGACGUUACCAACAGAAUAAGCACCGGCUAACUUCGUG
RNAcentral lists this ribosomal RNA (484 nucleotides) under uncultured bacterium. RNAcentral's name for it is "partial 16S ribosomal RNA". It matches the Rfam family "Bacterial small subunit ribosomal RNA", at positions 30 to 507 of the family's 1533-position model. The record is from RNAcentral.